GGGAAAAUCGAAUCGAGAGCAUCCCGUGAGCAACGAUCCCGGCUUCGUGCAUUUGCACGUGCAUUCUGCCUAUUCGCUGCUGGAAGGCGCAAUGACGAUCGGCAAGCUCGCCGAUUUCGCCAAGGAUGAUAAGCAGCCGGCGCUGGCGCUGACCGACACCGACAACAUGUUCGGCGCGCUGGAAUUCUCCGAAAAGCUGGCUGCAUCCGGCAUCCAGCCGAUCGUCGGCUGUGCGCUCGCCAUCGACUUCGGCGACGAGACGCGCGAUCCGCGCAUGUCGGGCAAGCUGCGCGCGUUGCCGCGCAUCGUGCUGAUCGCGGCGCGCGAGG
RNAcentral lists this unclassified non-coding RNA (329 nucleotides) under uncultured bacterium. RNAcentral describes it as "contains 16S-23S intergenic spacer region". The record is from RNAcentral.